This 482-nucleotide ribosomal RNA is filed under the name uncultured bacterium. RNAcentral's name for it is "partial 16S ribosomal RNA". It matches the Rfam family "Bacterial small subunit ribosomal RNA", at positions 30 to 507 of the family's 1533-position model. The record is from RNAcentral.
AUUGAACGCUGGCGGCAUGCCUUACACAUGCAAGUCGAACGGUAACAGGUCUUCGGAUGCUGACGAGUGGCGAACGGGUGAGUAAUACAUCGGAACGUGCCCGAUCGUGGGGGAUAACGAGGCGAAAGCUUUGCUAAUACCGCAUACGAUCUACGGAUGAAAGCGGGGGAUCUUCGGACCUCGCGCGGACGGAGCGGCCGAUGGCAGAUUAGGUAGUUGGUGGGAUAAAAGCUUACCAAGCCGACGAUCUGUAGCUGGUCUGAGAGGAUGAUCAGCCACACUGGGACUGAGACACGGCCCAGACUCCUACGGGAGGCAGCAGUGGGGAAUUUUGGACAAUGGGCGAAAGCCUGAUCCAGCCAUGCCGCGUGCAGGAUGAAGGCCUUCGGGUUGUAAACUGCUUUUGUGCGGAACGAAAAGCCUCUUUCUAAUAAAGAGGGGUCAUGACGGUACCGUAAGAAUAAGCACCGGCUAACUACGUG